UGGGAUGUAACUCAGAGUUAGAGUGCUUGCUUAACAUAUGUAAUGCUCUGGGUUUGAUUCCUAGCAUCCUAA
Molecule: transfer RNA, 72 nt
Filed under: Cavia porcellus (domestic guinea pig)
Lineage: Eukaryota; Metazoa; Chordata; Mammalia; Rodentia; Caviidae
Rfam family: tRNA
About the family: Transfer RNA (tRNA) molecules are approximately 80 nucleotides in length.
Source: Rfam by way of RNAcentral